CGACAUUGCUAGUUGGAGGUACGGCUCACAAGGCUACGAUGUCUAGGGUUCUGAGAGGAUUCACCCCCACACUGGUACUGAGACACGGACCAGACUCCUACGGGAGGCAGCAGUAAGGAAUAUUGGGCAAUGGACGCAAGUCUGACCCAGCCAUGCCGCGUGCAGGAUGACAGCCCUACGGGUUGUAAACUGCUUUGUACGGGAAACUCCCGGUCGUGAACCGGGACUGAUGGUACCGUAAGAAUAAGCAUCGGCUAACUCCGUGCCAGCAGCCGCGGUAAUACGGAGGAUGCAAGCGUUAUCCGGAUUUUGGGUUUAAAGGGUGCGCAGGCGGAAUGCAAGUCAGUGGUGAAAUCCUACGGCUCAACUGUAGAACUGCCAUGAUACUGUCGUUCUUGAGUACACUUGAAGUGGGCGGAAUGUGUCAUGUACGGUGAAAUGCUUAGAUAUGACACAGAACACCGAUCGCAAGGCAGCUCACUAACGUGAAACUGACGCUCAGGCACGAAAGGUGGGGAUCAAACAGGAUUAGAUACCCUGGUAGUCCACGCUUAAACGAUGAUUACUCGAUGUUGGCGAUACACUGUCAGCGUCUAAGCGAAAGCAUUAAGUAAUCCACCUGGGGAGUCGGCCGCAAGGUUGAAACUCAAAGGAAUUGACGGGGGCCCGCACAAGCGGAGGAGCAUGUGGUUUAAUUCGAUGAUACGCGAGGAACCUUACCUGGGCUAGAACGUAGGACGACAGUCCCGGAAACGGGAUCUCCCUUCGGGGCGACCUACGAGGUGCUGCAUGGUUGUCGUCAGCUCGUGCCGUGAGGUGUCGGGUUAAGUCCCAUAACGAGCGCAACCCCUAUCAUUAGUUGCCAUCAGGUCAUCUGGGGACUCUAAUGAAACUGCCUACGCAAGUAGUGAGGAAGGUGGGGAUGACGUCAAAUCAGCACGGCCCUUACGUCCAGGGCUACACACGUGCUACAAUGGCCGUACAAAGGGUUGCUACCUGGUGACAGGAUGCUAAUCUCAAAAACCGGUCUCAGUUCGGAUCGAAGUCUGCAACUCG
RNAcentral lists this ribosomal RNA (1056 nucleotides) under uncultured bacterium. RNAcentral's name for it is "bacterial SSU rRNA". It matches the Rfam family "Bacterial small subunit ribosomal RNA", at positions 236 to 1314 of the family's 1533-position model. The record is from RNAcentral.